Molecule: long non-coding RNA, 969 nt
Organism: Gallus gallus (chicken)
Lineage: Eukaryota; Metazoa; Chordata; Aves; Galliformes; Phasianidae
Source: Ensembl
GCUCUUUCUCUGUAUGAAAAGUUCUUAUCUGCACAUAGGAUUAAUAUUUAACUUGCAUAUUGCUUUAGGGAAGCUGGUACUGACAACUCAUUUAGAGAAGACAGAAUUAGAUGGAUCUUUUUCUUCUGGUCCAGAGUAUCUACUCAUUUCUUGCCACCAGCGAUGGAAAGAUUGCCUCUUUCAGUGCAUAUUCAGUGCCUGACACGUUGAGCAUGGAGCUGUCAGGGGAGGGUCAGUAGAAGAUUAAAAGUCUGAAUUGUACAAAUGACACUCCUGGUUGCCAAGAAAGCUUUGAUCUUGAUAAUGACAGGAUGCGAUGGCUGGAAGCUGUAGCUCACAGGAUUCAUAUGAGAAGCAAGGAAUCAAGCUGUUCAGAAUGAGCCACAGACCUUGCUGAUGUGACUGCACAUUUACGGUAAUAUAAACUAAUUUAUAGUACAUAUGGAAAGGAGACUUCAUUUGGAUUUGGCAAUGGAACAAAAACACUCAUGUAUCUGGACUAAAUCUCAUAGAAUCACAGAGCAUCCUGAGCUGGAAAGGACCCAUGAGGAUCACUGAGUCCGACUCCACGCAGGACAACCUAAGAACGAAACCAGCUUCCUGCUGUUCUGUAGGAGGAGAACAGUUUGUGGAGUGCAUGUGCAGACAAAACCGCUGUGAUCCACAAGGCUGCUGGGUCAGAGAGUCGAUCUGCCCUGCUCUACAGGCCUAUCAAAGCACCUCAGCAAAGAGCUCAGUGUUGUGAGCUGCUUCUGAUGCCAGACAAAGUCUGUCUGAACCGCGGGAUCGCAGGGGCUGGAAAGAACCUCAAAGAGCAUCGAGUCCAACCCCCUGCUGAGGCUGGGCCUUGGAUGCUGCCAUAGGAGACUCCACAGCCCCUCUGGGCAUCUCGUGCCUUAGUGUAAGUAACUUCUUCCUUAUUUCUAGUCCAGAUCUUUUUUGGCUUGAGCCCUUUCCCUUGUCUUGUCA